CCUACGGGGGGCAGCAGUGAGGAAUAUUGGUCAAUGGACGAGAGUCUGAACCAGCCAAGUAGCGUGAAGGAUGACUGCCCUAUGGGUUGUAAACUUCUUUUAUAUGGGAAUAAAAUGUUCCACGUGUGGGCUUUUGUAUGUACCAUAUGAAUAAGGAUCGGCUAACUCCGUGCCAGCAGCCGCGGUAAUACGGAGGAUCCGAGCGUUAUCCGGAUUUAUUGGGUUUAAAGGGAGCGUAGGUGGAUUGUUAAGUCAGUUGUGAAAGUUUGCGGCUCAACCGUAAAAUUGCAGUUGAAACUGGCAGUCUUGAGUACAGUAGAGGUGGGCGGAAUUCGUGGUGUAGCGGUGAAAUGCUUAGAUAUGACGAAGAACUCCGAUUGCGAAGGCAGCUCACUGGACUGCAACUGACACUGAGGCGCGAAAGUGUGGGUAUCAAACAGGAUUAGAUACCCUAGUAGUC
This 460-nucleotide ribosomal RNA is filed under the name uncultured bacterium. Its description in RNAcentral is "partial 16S ribosomal RNA". It matches the Rfam family "Bacterial small subunit ribosomal RNA", at positions 338 to 795 of the family's 1533-position model. The record is from RNAcentral.